Molecule: non-coding RNA, 492 nt
Organism: Pelobates cultripes (western spadefoot toad)
Lineage: Eukaryota; Metazoa; Chordata; Amphibia; Anura; Pelobatidae
Source: the annotation of a GenBank genome assembly
CUUGGCAGGCUGUGACACCCCAAGCCGAUUAGUGAGUUUCUUCCACUGUCUUUGCACUGGCCAGGAAUACAGCCACCCCCACGAUGCUGACCAUAAAUACUACCCUUAGUCGUCAUUGUGCUCCCCCCGCAGACAGGACAACCUGCAACCCCGACUGGAGACCCUAGUUGAAAAUAUCUAAACCAAUUAAAUUAAGAUGAACGCUCUUCUUCCUCAAACUCAAGUUGAUGCCUUCCAGUUCUACAUGCCUAACCACCAACCCUCCCAGACGGGAGAUCCAAGUGGCCCAAAAAGACAUGCAGCUAUCUGAACUGGACCUUUCUAGCCCCUUUCGCCAGAGUAACAAGGUGCAGCAAUCAGCUUCUCAACUGGCAAACUGAAAACCAUCUAAACAGCGUUAAUUUCAAUACUCAAAAAGGACAAAACUGACACCGGACCCACUGUCUUGUGCUUGGAAACAGGAAUGCCAAAAUGUGCCACCACACAUUGAAU